This 1659-nucleotide unclassified non-coding RNA is filed under the name Limulus polyphemus (Atlantic horseshoe crab). RNAcentral's name for it is "pituitary tumor-transforming gene 1 protein- interacting protein-like, transcript variant X1". The record is from RNAcentral. Lineage: Eukaryota; Metazoa; Arthropoda; Merostomata; Xiphosura; Limulidae.
CAAGUAGGCUUGGUUCCAACUAACCUAAAAUGUUUUUCUCACCAAUUAACUUUAUAUCGAACUAAGAUCUCGUAAGCACUAGAGCUCCAAUGUCAUUGUAUCUGAAUAAUAGCUCAGUCUCUUUAAAUGACAAGAACCUGUAACUUUUUCUCAUUUCAUUACAUCUAAUUUCCGAAUAAUUUAAAUUAUCUACAUACAAGUAUACUUAUAUAUAGCUUAACAAAUAUCAGGAAUAUCUUAUUCUAGAACUGUUCGGAUAUUUUCAUUUUGAAUAUUGUUGAAAAGUGAGUCUUAUUAUAAUGAAGAAUACGAUAUAAAACUUUUAUCUGUAUCUAUUGCUUUUACUUCCUAGAUUGAUAGCUCUUAUGAGCCACCGUACCUUAUCUGAAUUUUAUUUUUAGAACUGGGCCACAAGUUGAAAUUAUAUUUGUCAUUUUUCAGCUCUUUUUUUUUUUUUCAGUAGAAAAGUCUAAUCAAGAGGUAAUUGUCAAGUUUCAACAUCCAUAACUUUUCUCAACAAUACAUUAAGAUUGGAAAAAGCUGCUUCAUGUGUUAUGAACAAUUAAACUUUCAGAUAACACAUUAUUAGGACUUGACGUUUCUUUCACUUUGUCGUCUGUUAAUGAUAUUAGAUGGAAAAUGGGUAUUCAAAGAGAGCUAGUACAAGUAAUGUUCACAUUAACGGUGUUCUUGUCACGUCCUUCUUGGUUUGGAUGCUAAACCAACUUCAAAUUCAACAGUUACUUUGCCACUGUCUACAGAAAAAUAUUGUUCUACAUAUGAUGGUUCUUGUGAUAACUGCAUCGAAGCUGGUUCAAAGUGCUACUAUUGUUACAAGAACAAAAAAUGUUCUUUCUAUCCCUUUGAACAUAUCGUGUAUAGAUAUGAUGAGUGUGGAUCACUUGGAGAUAUGGCCUGGGGUACCUGCUAUGGUAAGCUGAUUAAAGUGACAUUUACUUCUCAGAGUAUAAAUCAUGUAAACCUUUGAAUUUUGUUAUCUAUGUGUUUUAAUAAUAAUAAUAAUAUUUCUUUAAACAAGUCAAUUUUGAAGCCCUGCUCAUCACCAUUAGUAUAAUAGGAGUAAUGAUUCUUAUGGCUCUGACCAUCUUUUGCUGUUGGUGUUGCCGCUCUUAUCAUAAACGAAAAAUAGAAAAGUACCAAAGGGAAGUCACGAAGUUUGACAGGGAACAGGAAAAUCUGAAAUUAAGAGCAGCAGAAAGGAAACAACAUAGACAGGCAAAAGUAGAUGGAAUACGUGAUAAGUAUGGGCUUCGAGUGGAAAACCCAUUCUACAAAAGGCUUGACUGAGUAUUUGCUGCAAAUAAACAUCAGACCUUAAAAAAAAAGAUGUUAGUGAACUGAAAACCAUUAUUUAUGAAAUCAGACAUUAAUUAUUUAAAUCACUUGUUCAAAGUUUGUAUUAUUCACAAAAUUAUUGUUUUAUUUCUUAUAAGCCUAAAAAUUUAUUUUUGUUCUACACCAUGUAUAUCCACUAGUUAAUUAAAUCUAGCAGAGACAUUGUAAUAUACAAAAUUUAAAAGAUUUGCACCAUUAUAGCAUAGUUGAUAUUUAAUUUGUAGAUUAAAAAAAUCUUCCUCGUUAAUAUGUAACAUGUUGUCAGGUGUAUGUUUUAUUUAUUGCACUUUUUCUUAACAUAAA